GGCGAGUGAAGCGGCAACAGCUCAAAUUUGAAAUCUGGCCCCUAGGGUCCGAGUUGUAAUUUGUAGAGGAUGCUUUUGGUGAGGUGCCGCCCGAGUUCCCUGGAACGGGACGCCGCAGAGGGUGAGAGCCCCGUCUGGCUGGCCACCGAGCCUCUGUAAAGCUCCUUCGACGAGUCGAGUAGUUUGGGAAUGCUGCUCAAAAUGGGAGGUAUAUGUCUUCUAAAGCUAAAUAUUGGCCAGAGACCGAUAGCGCACAAGUAGAGUGAUCGAAAGAUGAAAAGCACCUUGAAAAGAGGGUUAAACAGUACGUGAAAUUGUUGAAAGGGAAGCGCUUGUGACCAGACUUGGGCGCGGCGGAUCAUCCGGGGUUCUCCCCGGUGCACUUCGCCGUGUUCAGGCCAGCAUCAGUUCGGCGCGGGGGAAAAAGGCUUCGGGAACGUGGCUCCUCCGGGAGUGUUAUAGCCCGUUGCAUAAUACCCUGCGCUGGACUGAGGACCGCGCAUCUGCAAGGAUGCUGGCGUAAUGGUCACCAGCGACCCGUCUUGAAACACGGACCAAGGAGUCGUCUUCGUAUGCGAGU
This 580-nucleotide ribosomal RNA is filed under the name Trichoderma atroviride. RNAcentral describes it as "LSU rRNA". It matches the Rfam family "Eukaryotic large subunit ribosomal RNA", at positions 88 to 691 of the family's 3401-position model. The record is from RNAcentral. Lineage: Eukaryota; Fungi; Ascomycota; Sordariomycetes; Hypocreales; Hypocreaceae.